Molecule: long non-coding RNA, 271 nt
Filed under: Elaeis guineensis (African oil palm)
Lineage: Eukaryota; Viridiplantae; Streptophyta; Magnoliopsida; Arecales; Arecaceae
Description: long non-coding RNA (EGUI_LNC046284)
Source: RNAcentral
UUUAUGAAAACUCUUUUUCAAUAUUCACAUAUGCUUCGACUGAAGACUUCUUAAACUCAGUCUUAUUAAUUACAUAGGACUACUCUUUUCUAUCAAGAUCGAUAGAUUCCAUCUUAGUGCAUCCUACUCUAACAGUAAAUCUAAACCUACUAUAGUAACAUAUAUAGUAAGGAUCCGAAUGGCUAGAGAUUAAGAAAAUGGUAGUCAAAUUAAGUAGCCUCAUUGUGAAUAGCCAACACACUGUAGGUCAAAGGACCACUCACACCACUGC